GUGGGGUUAGUUCAAUUGGCAAGAACUCCUGCCUUGCACGCAGAAAAUAACGGUUCAAAUCCGUUACCCUACA
This 73-nucleotide transfer RNA is filed under the name Microscilla marina ATCC 23134. It matches the Rfam family "tRNA". Rfam says of the family: Transfer RNA (tRNA) molecules are approximately 80 nucleotides in length. Lineage: Bacteria; Pseudomonadati; Bacteroidota; Cytophagia; Cytophagales; Microscillaceae. The record is from Rfam by way of RNAcentral.